Molecule: ribosomal RNA, 253 nt
Filed under: uncultured bacterium
Lineage: Bacteria
Description: partial 16S ribosomal RNA
Rfam family: Bacterial small subunit ribosomal RNA
Source: RNAcentral
UACGUAGGGGGCAAGCGUUGUCCGGAUUCAUUGGGCGUAAAGAGCGUGUAGGCGGCCAGGUAGGUCCGUUGUGAAAACUCGAGGCUCAACCUCGAGACGUCGAUGGAAACCAUCUGGCUAGAGUCCGGAAGAGGAGAGUGGAAUUCCCGGUGUAGCGGUGAAAUGCGCAGAUAUCAGGAGGAACACCGAUGGCGAAGGCAGGUCUCUGGGCCGAUACUGACGCUGAGGAGCGAAAGCGUGGGGAGCGAACAGG